This 407-nucleotide ribosomal RNA is filed under the name uncultured bacterium. RNAcentral describes it as "partial 16S ribosomal RNA". It matches the Rfam family "Bacterial small subunit ribosomal RNA", at positions 30 to 526 of the family's 1533-position model. The record is from RNAcentral.
AUUGAACGCUGGCGGCAGGCCUAACACAUGCAAGUCGAGCGAGCGGCGGACGGGUGAGUAAUGUCUGGGAAACUGCCUGAUGGAGGGUGAUAACUACUGGAAACGGUAGCUAAUACCGCAUACCAUCAGAUGUGCCCAGAUGGGAUUAGCUGGUAGGUGUGGUAAUGGCUCACCUAGGCGACGAUCCCUAGCUGGUCUGAGAGGAUGACCAGCAAAACUGGAACUGAGACACGGUCAAGAGUCCUACGGGAGGCAGCAGGGGGGAAGAUUGCACAAUGGGCGCAAGCCGGAUGCAGCAAUGCCGCGUGUGUGAAGAAGGCCUUCGGGUUGUAAAGAACUGUCAGCGAGGAGGCGUUACUCGCAGAAGAAGCACCGGCUAACUCCGUGCCAGCAGCCGCGGUAAUUAC